Sinocyclocheilus grahami is the source of this 483-nucleotide long non-coding RNA. RefSeq lists it as uncharacterized. The record is from RefSeq and is a predicted model, not a curated record. The transcript has 3 exons. Lineage: Eukaryota; Metazoa; Chordata; Actinopteri; Cypriniformes; Cyprinidae.
UUUUUAUAGCUCCUAGAAUGAGCAAAUCAGCUGUGCAUCAUCUCUGGGAUUUGGGCAGGAAAUGACUGAAUAUGGAAGAUGAAGCCAGUUGAUGAAGAUAUCAAUUCAAUGGCCACCAACUGCCGCACUGCUGCCUGAACCCAUCAGGUAUCUGCUGUGAAGACUGCAUUCACGAACAGCUUGAAUGUGACAGCUCAGAUGUUACAGCACGUAAAAGUAAACUUCACAACUGAACAACAGCAAGAUAGUUGUGGAGGGAUUCUUUUGGCCCAUAUUUCCAACAACCUCCCAACAAGAAUCAAUGGACAUCUCCACCAGGUGAUGUGUGAGGAGGACCGUCAGACUCAUGGAUUGUGAGCCAUGGAUUGCUCUCACCGUUACCAUCAGGCAGAUGUUAUCGCAGAACCUUCACCAGCAGACUGCGAGACAAGUUCUUUCCACAGGCAAUCAGACUGAACUGAACUCGUACCAGUAACACCACAC